Molecule: ribosomal RNA, 305 nt
Filed under: uncultured bacterium
Lineage: Bacteria
Description: partial 16S ribosomal RNA
Rfam family: Bacterial small subunit ribosomal RNA
Source: RNAcentral
ACAGCAGUAGCCGCGGUAAUACGAAGGGGGCUAGCGUUGUUCGGAUUUACUGGGCGUAAAGGGCGCGUAGGCGGACUGAUAAGUCAGGGGUGAAAUCCCAAGGCUCAACCUUGGAACUGCCUUUGAUACUGUUUGUCUUGAGUUCGAGAGAGGUAAGUGGAACUGCGAGUGUAGAGGUGAAAUUCGUAGAUAUUCGCAAGAACACCAGUGGCGAAGGCGGCUUACUGGCUCGAAACUGACGCUGAGGCGCGAAAGCGUGGGGAGCAAACAGGAUUAGAUACCCCUGUAGUCCCUGUCUCUUAUAC